CCUACGGGAGGCAGCAGUGAGGAAUAUUGGUCAAUGGGCGCGAGCCUGAACCAGCCAAGUCGCGUGAGGGAAGACGGUCCUAUGGAUUGUAAACCUCUUUUGUCGGGGAGCAAAAGACGCCACGCGUGGCGUUCCGAGAGUACCCGAAGAAAAAGCCUCGGCUAACUCCGUGCCAGCAGCCGCGGUAAUACGGAGGAUGCGAGCGUUAUCCGGAUUUAUUGGGUUUAAAGGGUGCGCAGGCGGAAGAUCAAGGCAGCGGUAAAAUUGAGAGGCUCAACCUCUUCGAGCCGUUGAAACUGGUUUGCUUGAGUGAGCGAGAAGUAUGCGGAAUGCGUGGUGUAGCGGUGCAAUGCAUAGAUAUCACGCAGAACUCCGAUUGCGAAGGCAGCAUACCGGCGCUCAACUGACGCUCAUGCACGAAAGUGUGGGUAUCGAACAGGAUUAGAUACCCGGGUAGUC
This 459-nucleotide ribosomal RNA is filed under the name uncultured bacterium. Its description in RNAcentral is "partial 16S ribosomal RNA". It matches the Rfam family "Bacterial small subunit ribosomal RNA", at positions 338 to 795 of the family's 1533-position model. The record is from RNAcentral.